This 215-nucleotide ribosomal RNA is filed under the name Phenakospermum guyannense. RNAcentral's name for it is "partial 26S ribosomal RNA". It matches the Rfam family "Eukaryotic large subunit ribosomal RNA", at positions 1 to 214 of the family's 3401-position model. The record is from RNAcentral. Lineage: Eukaryota; Viridiplantae; Streptophyta; Magnoliopsida; Zingiberales; Strelitziaceae.
GUGACCCUAGGUCAGGCGGGGCCACCCGCCAAGUUUAAGCAUAUAAAUAAGCAGAGGAGAAGAAACUUAUGAGGAUUCCCCUAGUAAUGACGAGCAAACCAGGAUCAGCCCAGCUUGAGAAUCGGGUGGCUACGCUGUCCAAAUUAUAGUCUAGAGAAGCGUCCUCAUCGACAGACCGGGCCCAAGUCCCCUGGAAAGGGGCGCCGCGGAGGGUG